AGCGCAGGCGGCCAAGUCAGUCUGAAGUGAAAUCCCGGGGCUUAACCUCGGAAGUGCUUUGGAUACUACUUGGCUAGAGUACGUGAGAGGUGAGCGGAAUUCCAGGUGUAGCGGUGAAAUGCGUAGAUAUCUGGAGGAACACCCGUGGCGAAAGCGGCUCACUGGCGCGUAACUGACGCUGAGGCUCGAAAGCGUGGGGAGCAAACGG
Molecule: ribosomal RNA, 208 nt
Filed under: uncultured bacterium
Lineage: Bacteria
Description: partial 16S ribosomal RNA
Rfam family: Bacterial small subunit ribosomal RNA
Source: RNAcentral